RNAcentral lists this ribosomal RNA (2205 nucleotides) under Escherichia coli. Its description in RNAcentral is "partial 23S ribosomal RNA". It matches the Rfam family "Bacterial large subunit ribosomal RNA", at positions 1 to 2228 of the family's 2925-position model. Lineage: Bacteria; Pseudomonadati; Pseudomonadota; Gammaproteobacteria; Enterobacterales; Enterobacteriaceae. The record is from RNAcentral.
GGUUAAGCGACUAAGCGUACACGGUGGAUGCCCUGGCAGUCAGAGGCGAUGAAGGACGUGCUAAUCUGCGAUAAGCGUCGGUAAGGUGAUAUGAACCGUUAUAACCGGCGAUUUCCGAAUGGGGAAACCCAGUGUGUUUCGACACACUAUCAUUAACUGAAUCCAUAGGUUAAUGAGGCGAACCGGGGGAACUGAAACAUCUAAGUACCCCGAGGAAAAGAAAUCAACCGAGAUUCCCCCAGUAGCGGCGAGCGAACGGGGAGCAGCCCAGAGCCUGAAUCAGUGUGUGUGUUAGUGGAAGCGUCUGGAAAGGCGCGCGAUACAGGGUGACAGCCCCGUACACAAAAAUGCACAUGCUGUGAGCUCGAUGAGUAGGGCGGGACACGUGGUAUCCUGUCUGAAUAUGGGGGGACCAUCCUCCAAGGCUAAAUACUCCUGACUGACCGAUAGUGAACCAGUACCGUGAGGGAAAGGCGAAAAGAACCCCGGCGAGGGGAGUGAAAAAGAACCUGAAACCGUGUACGUACAAGCAGUGGGAGCCUCUCUUUAUGGGGGGUGACUGCGUACCUUUUGUAUAAUGGGUCAGCGACUUAUAUUCUGUAGCAAGGUUAACCGAAUAGGGGAGCCGAAGGGAAACCGAGUCUUAACUGGGCGUUAAGUUGCAGGGUAUAGACCCGAAACCCGGUGAUCUAGCCAUGGGCAGGUUGAAGGUUGGGUAACACUAACUGGAGGACCGAACCGACUAAUGUUGAAAAAUUAGCGGAUGACUUGUGGCUGGGGGUGAAAGGCCAAUCAAACCGGGAGAUAGCUGGUUCUCCCCGAAAGCUAUUUAGGUAGCGCCUCGUGAAUUCAUCUCCGGGGGUAGAGCACUGUUUCGGCAAGGGGGUCAUCCCGACUUACCAACCCGAUGCAAACUGCGAAUACCGGAGAAUGUUAUCACGGGAGACACACGGCGGGUGCUAACGUCCGUCGUGAAGAGGGAAACAACCCAGACCGCCAGCUAAGGUCCCAAAGUCAUGGUUAAGUGGGAAACGAUGUGGGAAGGCCCAGACAGCCAGGAUGUUGGCUUAGAAGCAGCCAUCAUUUAAAGAAAGCGUAAUAGCUCACUGGUCGAGUCGGCCUGCGCGGAAGAUGUAACGGGGCUAAACCAUGCACCGAAGCUGCGGCAGCGACGCUUAUGCGUUGUUGGGUAGGGGAGCGUUCUGUAAGCCUGUGAAGGUGUGCUGUGAGGCAUGCUGGAGGUAUCAGAAGUGCGAAUGCUGACAUAAGUAACGAUAAAGCGGGUGAAAAGCCCGCUCGCCGGAAGACCAAGGGUUCCUGUCCAACGUUAAUCGGGGCAGGGUGAGUCGACCCCUAAGGCGAGGCCGAAAGGCGUAGUCGAUGGGAAACAGGUUAAUAUUCCUGUACUUGGUGUUACUGCGAAGGGGGGACGGAGAAGGCUAUGUUGGCCGGGCGACGGUUGUCCCGGUUUAAGCGUGUAGGCUGGUUUUCCAGGCAAAUCCGGAAAAUCAAGGCUGAGGCGUGAUGACGAGGCACUACGGUGCUGAAGCAACAAAUGCCCUGCUUCCAGGAAAAGCCUCUAAGCAUCAGGUAACAUCAAAUCGUACCCCAAACCGACACAGGUGGUCAGGUAGAGAAUACCAAGGCGCUUGAGAGAACUCGGGUGAAGGAACUAGGCAAAAUGGUGCCGUAACUUCGGGAGAAGGCACGCUGAUAUGUAGGUGAAGUCCCUCGCGGAUGGAGCUGAAAUCAGUCGAAGAUACCAGCUGGCUGCAACUGUUUAUUAAAAACACAGCACUGUGCAAACACGAAAGUGGACGUAUACGGUGUGACGCCUGCCCGGUGCCGGAAGGUUAAUUGAUGGGGUUAGCGCAAGCGAAGCUCUUGAUCGAAGCCCCGGUAAACGGCGGCCGUAACUAUAACGGUCCUAAGGUAGCGAAAUUCCUUGUCGGGUAAGUUCCGACCUGCACGAAUGGCGUAAUGAUGGCCAGGCUGUCUCCACCCGAGACUCAGUGAAAUUGAACUCGCUGUGAAGAUGCAGUGUACCCGCGGCAAGACGGAAAGACCCCGUGAACCUUUACUAUAGCUUGACACUGAACAUUGAGCCUUGAUGUGUAGGAUAGGUGGGAGGCUUUGAAGUGUGGACGCCAGUCUGCAUGGAGCCGACCUUGAAAUACCACCCUUUAAUGUUUGAUGUUCUAACGU